UAGGGUGCAAGCGUUGUCCGGAAUUAUUGGGCGUAAAGAGCUCGUAGGCGGUUUGGCACGUCGGCUGUGAAAUCCCGAGGCUCAACCUCGGGUCUGCAGUCGAUACGGGCGGACUUGAGUGCUGCAGGGGAGACUGGAAUUCCUGGUGUAGCGGUGAAAUGCGCAGAUAUCAGGAGGAACACCGGUGGCGAAGGCGGGUCUCUGGGCAGUAACUGACGCUGAGGAGCGAAAGCGUGGGGAGCGAACAGG
Molecule: ribosomal RNA, 249 nt
Filed under: uncultured bacterium
Lineage: Bacteria
Description: partial 16S ribosomal RNA
Rfam family: Bacterial small subunit ribosomal RNA
Source: RNAcentral